This is a long non-coding RNA of Quercus robur (English oak), 2002 nucleotides long. RefSeq lists it as uncharacterized. NCBI's taxonomy places the organism in Eukaryota, Viridiplantae, Streptophyta, Magnoliopsida, Fagales, Fagaceae. The record is from RefSeq and is a predicted model, not a curated record. The transcript has 2 exons.
GCAGUUGAUUAUGAUUGCCAGCAUGACACUGAAGAAUGGUGUCAAAGUAUGAAAAAGAUGGAUCAGAAAAUGAAGCGUGCUUGUAAGAAGAUUCCUGCAACUAGUGACUAGGAAUGGACUUUUCAUAAUUUGGGAAUGGGACUUUAGAUUACAAGGACAAGGCUAUUGUUUCAGACAAUUUUUGCACAUUCAAAAGUUGUCAAUAUGGUAUGCUUGAUUUUUGCUGCACUGAUUGUCGCAUAAUCUCUUAUGCAGCUACAAGAUGCUGGAUAGAUGCUGCUACUUUAGUUGCUACAAUCUGAUUAUUCAAGGUUUCUCUAUCUCUCUCUCUCUCUCUUCUGGAACUUAUUCUUAUCAUGUCUCUAAUUUUAAUCUUGGGUGUUUAUCUCAACGCUCCCAUCCCCUGUGCACAGGGAAAACCCAAAAUCAACUCAGCAGUGCAGUUUAUACAUCAAAUAUUUCAUCAUGUAUACAGGAGUUUUAAUUGAUUCUUGCCUUUGUAUCAAUAAAGAAGGCUUAUUUUUCUGAAUUAUUUUGUGCUUUAUGGUGUAAUCUAGUAAUCUCAACCAUUUUCUACGUUCCUCAUCUGAUUAGUGUUUCUGGGGUAGACAAACAACUAAUAAUCACCUAGAGAAUUGCUUUACCCUUGAUUGCAUUUGCCUUUCACUAUAUUUAUGUGUGAGCAUGUCCUGAUAUGUGACCAACAAAGUUUUAUAGAUGACCUAGCAAUGUGGAUCUUGCCUAAACAGGUUGUAUAUGGUUUCAUGAAAUCAUUAUCGUAAAUAAAUAUUAGUUAAAAGCAUAAGUGAAGAUCUGCAAUGGUGAAUAUAGCACAAUCAUCUUUUCACUUUGGAAAUCAUGUUUUGAAGUAAUCCCAUUUUUAAUAUUUCCCCUAAGACUGAUGUUAAUAUGAUUAAUUACGAAAGGACACGGACUAACAGCUUGUUCAUUACAUUUAAACACCCAAAUACUUAUGCUCUGCCAAAGAAAUAAUUUGUACAGUAGAACCAAGGGAUUUUGCCCUUCCCUUGCUGGAAUGCUGUACCAAUUUCUGAUAGCAUUUUAGUUUUUAUAAAUUUGUUCUCCUUGCAACAUGAACUUCUAUUUAUGUUAAAAAAAAAUUAAUUCUAGUUUAAUCUUUUAAAUUGAGAAGAUAUUUUGAAAGCCUUGUAUGCUCCUGUGAUAUUAUGUUUUGUGUUUACCCAUGGUGUUACAAAGGUCGGCUGAGCAUGCUCUUCCCGCGGAACAUAACAUUUGGAGGGCUUUGAUUCUGUAUGUUGGAGCUGGUGCACUUCAAGAGGCAUUAGCAUCACUUCAUAGGGCACAACAACCAGACACAGCGGCCAUGUUCUUCCUUGCUUGUCAUGAAAAGCAUGCAGAAAUAGUUGCUGAUUUAGGAGAUUUAGAUGAUGAAUCUAGUUCUUCUGUGAAGGAUUAGCUGUGUAACUUGCUUGGGUUGGACCCAUAGAAUGAAGAUGUAAUUGCAGUAGAUGAAUGUUAUGGGCAAUAUCAAAGAAAAUUGCCUCUGUGCAUGGACUCAACCAUUCUCUGACUGAAAUUACUGGGCUCAGUCAUAUCAUAUGCAAGUGUUUUUACAGUGAAAAUUGGCAAAUAUCUUCUGGAUUCAUUAUCAAAAGAUGACUGAGUAAUAUAAUAGGCAGUUGGUAGUGGAUGAUCUUGAGCGGCUCGAGAGAAGGGAUUUACCAGUCCGCAUAAACACGGAAUUGGAUUGGAUGACGAAAAUUUAGUUUACUGGUUUUUGGCAAAGUUGCCUGUAGAUAAACAUUACAGGAAGGUUGAUUAUAGUGUUGUAACUAAUGUAGAAAAUUUUGUCAGCAAGAACAUUCACAUGCACCAUAUAAUUGGUAGGAAUGAUAUCAGUUCUUAGAGAAAGAAUCAAUGUUAUUCCUUGAUUUUGUACAACACUACAUUAAAUCAUAUUCUUAUUUGUUGUCACCUCCUUCUGGCAGUUUUGCAAAGAUGAUAUCUGGAGUUCUGGACU